This 492-nucleotide ribosomal RNA is filed under the name uncultured bacterium. RNAcentral describes it as "bacterial SSU rRNA". It matches the Rfam family "Bacterial small subunit ribosomal RNA", at positions 903 to 1397 of the family's 1533-position model. The record is from RNAcentral.
AAAUGAAUAGACGGGGACCCGCACAAGCAGUGGAGUAUGUGGUUUAAUUCGACGCAACGCGAAGAACCUUACCAGGGCUUGACAUCCCUCGCUAUCCCUCGAGAUAGGGAGUUCCCUUCGGGGACGAGGAGACAGGUGGUGCAUGGUUGUCGUCAGCUCGUGUCGUGAGAUGUUCGGUUAAGUCCGGCAACGAGCGCAACCCCUGUUGUCUGUUACUACCAUUCAGUUGAGGACUCAGACGAGACUGCCGUUAAUAAAGCGGAGGAAGGUGGGGACGACGUCAAAUCAUCAUGCCCCUUAUGUCCUGGGCUACACACGUACUACAAUGGCUACCACAGAGGGCAGCGACGCCGCGAGGCCGAGCGAAUCCCUAAAGGUAGUCCCAGUUCGGAUUGCAGGCUGCAACUCGCCUGCAUGAAGUCGGAAUUGCUAGUAAUGGCAGGUCAGCAUACUGCCGUGAAUACGUUCCCGGGUCUUGUACACACCGCCCGU